RNAcentral lists this ribosomal RNA (1464 nucleotides) under uncultured organism. RNAcentral's name for it is "SSU rRNA". It matches the Rfam family "Bacterial small subunit ribosomal RNA". The record is from RNAcentral.
GAUGAACGCUAGCUACAGGCUUAACACAUGCAAGUCGAGGGGCAGCAUGGUCUUAGCUUGCUAAGGCCGAUGGCGACCGGCGCACGGGUGAGUAACGCGUAUCCAACCUGCCUUACACUCUUGGACAGCCUUCUGAAAGGGAGAUUAAUACAAGAUGUUAUCAUGAGUAAGCAUUUUCGCAUGAUUAAAGGUUUACCGGUGUAAGAUGGGGGUGCGUUCCAUUAGAUAGUAGGCGGGGUAACGGCCCACCUAGUCUUCGAUGGAUAGGGGUUCUGAGAGGAAGGUCCCCCACAUUGGAACUGAGACACGGUCCAAACUCCUACGGGAGGCAGCAGUGAGGAAUAUUGGUCAAUGGACGAGAGUCUGAACCAGCCAAGUAGCGUGAAGGAUGAAGGUUCUAUGGAUUGUAAACUUCUUUUAUACGGGAAUAAACGAAUCCACGUGUGGAUUUUUGCAUGUACCGUAUGAAUAAGGAUCGGCUAACUCCGUGCCAGCAGCCGCGGUAAUACGGAGGAUCCGAGCGUUAUCCGGAUUUAUUGGGUUUAAAGGGAGCGUAGAUGGGUCGUUAAGUCAGUUGUGAAAGUUUGCGGCUCAACCGUAAAAUUGCAAUUGAUACUGGCAGUCUUGAGUACAGUUGAGGUAGGCUGAAUUCGUGGUGUAGCGGUGAAAUGCUUAGAUAUCACGAAGAACUCCGAUUGCGAAGGCAGCUUACUAACCUGUAACUGACAUUGAUGCUCGAAAGUGUGGGUAUCAAACAGGAUUAGAUACCCUGGUAGUCCACACGGUAAACGAUGAAUACUCGCUGUAGGCGAUAUACAGUCUGCGGCCAAGCGAAAGCAUUAAGUAUUCCACCUGGGGAGUACGCCGGCAACGGUGAAACUCAAAGGAAUUGACGGGGGCCCGCACAAGCGGAGGAACAUGUGGUUUAAUUCGAUGAUACGCGAGGAACCUUACCCGGGCUUAAAUUGCAACCGAAUAUGGCGGAAACGCUAUAGCUAGCAAUAGCGGUUGUGAAGGUGCUGCAUGGUUGUCGUCAGCUCGUGCCGUGAGGUGUCGGCUUAAGUGCCAUAACGAGCGCAACCCUUGCCGAUAGUUACUAACAGGUCAUGCUGAGGACUCUGUCGGGACUGCCAUCGUAAGAUGUGAGGAAGGUGGGGAUGACGUCAAAUCAGCACGGCCCUUACGUCCGGGGCUACACACGUGUUACAAUGGGGGGGUACAGAGGGCUGCUACCACGCAAGUGGAUGCCAAUCCCAAAAACCUCUCUCAGUUCGGAUUGAAGUCUGCAACCCGACUUCAUGAAGCUGGAUUCGCUAGUAAUCGCGCAUCAGCCACGGCGCGGUGAAUACGUUCCCGGGCCUUGUACACACCGCCCGUCAAGCCAUGGGAGCCGGGGGUACCUGAAGUGCGUAACCGCAAGGAGCGCCCUAGGGUAAAACUGGUGACUGGGGCUAAGUCAUAACA